This 523-nucleotide ribosomal RNA is filed under the name Eurotiomycetes sp. genotype 108. RNAcentral describes it as "eukaryotic LSU rRNA". The stretch from base 209 to 362 matches the Rfam family "5.8S ribosomal RNA". Lineage: Eukaryota; Fungi; Ascomycota; Eurotiomycetes. The record is from RNAcentral.
GUGAACCUGCGGAAGGAUCAUUACCGAGUGAGGGCCCUCUGGGUCCAACCUCCCACCCGUGUCUAUCGUACCUUGUUGCUUCGGCGGGCCCGCCGUUUCGACGGCCGCCGGGGAGGCCUUGCGCCCCCGGGCCCGCGCCCGCCGAAGACCCCAACAUGAACGCUGUUCUGAAAGUAUGCAGUCUGAGUUGAUUAUCGUAAUCAGUUAAAACUUUCAACAACGGAUCUCUUGGUUCCGGCAUCGAUGAAGAACGCAGCGAAAUGCGAUAAGUAAUGUGAAUUGCAGAAUUCAGUGAAUCAUCGAGUCUUUGAACGCACAUUGCGCCCCCUGGUAUUCCGGGGGGCAUGCCUGUCCGAGCGUCAUUGCUGCCCUCAAGCACGGCUUGUGUGUUGGGCCCCCGUCCCCCUCUCCCGGGGGACGGGCCCGAAAGGCAGCGGCGGCACCGCGUCCGGUCCUCGAGCGUAUGGGGCUUUGUCACCUGCUCUGUAGGCCCGGCCGGCGCCAGCCGACACCCAACUUUAUU